Long non-coding RNA from Tribolium castaneum (red flour beetle), 487 nucleotides. RefSeq lists it as uncharacterized. Lineage: Eukaryota; Metazoa; Arthropoda; Insecta; Coleoptera; Tenebrionidae. The record is from RefSeq and is a predicted model, not a curated record. The transcript has 2 exons.
UAACGUAAACAGCUCGAGUGGCUGUUUCAUAAAAUUUGCAUUUUGCUGUGCCAGUAUCGGUUUAUCGGAUGAUCAAAGGAGUGGUGAUUUUAGUAAAAAUUUCAAAAUGUCUUAGACUGCACCUACUUUCUUAUCAAGCACUGUGAAGAUGAGCCGGUGACAAUGACCACAAAGUUUCAUUAGCAGUGGUCUUCCUACGACACAUUACCGUUAAUAUACACACAGGGCGCUAUCAGUGCAUUAUGAACCCAACCGUUCCGAGAACUGUAAUUCUACACUAACGAGGGUCCGCCUUCUUCACGGGCCUCAGUGUUCGAGCAUGAGGCCAUCCCCAGGGGGCUGGAGGGUCAAGAUUGCACCCUGUCCGCACCACGGCAGGGCUUCGAUUCUCGCACCCCAGGAGGUGUGAAUACGCUUAGUUUCAUCUAAUAUUAAUGGACGGAGUAUUGUAUUUUCACUCUUAAAUUAAAUUCAAGAAUGCCGCUAA